RNAcentral lists this non-coding RNA (172 nucleotides) under Clostridium estertheticum. RNAcentral describes it as "Lysine sequence". It matches the Rfam family "Lysine riboswitch aptamer". From Rfam's summary of the family: Riboswitches are metabolite binding domains within certain messenger RNAs that serve as precision sensors for their corresponding targets. Allosteric rearrangement of mRNA structure is mediated by ligand binding, and this results in modulation of gene expression. Lineage: Bacteria; Bacillati; Bacillota; Clostridia; Eubacteriales; Clostridiaceae. The record is from RNAcentral.
ACCUAGGGUAGAGGUGCUGUGUCUAUUAGUACUUAUUUGGAGCAUGCAAGCGAGGAUAAAUAAGAAAAGGAGUUAUGGCCGAAGAAAAUAUAUUUGGUAAAAUUAUUUUCUGGUUUUACACAUAAUAUGUGUAGGGUUGUCACUAAUUUAUUAGUGGAGAGCUACAAGGUAC